AGAGUUUGAUCCUGGCUCAGGAUAAACGCUGGCGGCGUGCCUUAGGCAUGCAAGUCGAACGGGUCUGGCUUGCCAGACCAGUGGCGGAAGGGUGAGUAACGCGUGGGAACGUACCUAUUGGUGGAGUAUAGCCUUCCGAAAGGAGGGGUAAUACUGCAUAAGUUCGCAAGAAGAAAGGGCUUAACCGCCCGCCGAUAGAGCGGCCCGCGUCCUAUCAGUUUGUUGGUGGGGUAAUGGCCUACCAAGACAAUGACGGGUAGCUGGGCUGAGAGGUCGGCCAGCCACAAGGGAACUGAGACACGGUCCCUACAUCUACGGAUGGCAGCAACCGGGAAUCUUGGACAAUGGGGGAAACCCUGAUCCAGCGACGCCGCGUGGGGGAAGAAGGCCUUCGGGUUGUAAACUCCUUUUGCCAGUUAUAAUGACUUGGCGAAUAAGCACCUGCCAACUACGUGCCAGCAGCCGCGGUGAAACGUAGGGUGCAAGCGUUAUCCGGAUUUACUGGGCGUAAAGGGUUGCGUAGGCGGUAACUUAAGUCAAAACUCAAAUCUUCCAGCUCAACUGGAAAUCGGGUUUUGAAACUAAGUUGCUUGAGUCUUGGAGAGGUAGCCGGAACUUGCAGUGGAGCGGUGAAAUGCGUUGAUAUUGCAAGGAACACCGAUGGCGUAGGCAGGCUACUGGUCAAGUACUGACGCUGAUGCACGAAAGCUAGGGGAGCGAAAGGGAUUAGAGACCCCUGUAGUCCUAGCCGUAAACGAUGGACACUAGCUGAUUGCUUUUUAAAGUGAUUGGCGCAAGCUAACGCGUUAAGUGUCCCGCCUGGGGAGUACGGCCGCAAGGCUAAAACUCAAAGGAAUUGACGGGGACCUGCACAAGCGGUGGAGCAUGU
Molecule: ribosomal RNA, 889 nt
Filed under: Candidatus Curtissbacteria bacterium GW2011_GWA1_40_16
Lineage: Bacteria; Candidatus Curtissiibacteriota
Description: bacterial SSU rRNA
Rfam family: Bacterial small subunit ribosomal RNA
Source: RNAcentral